RNAcentral lists this ribosomal RNA (905 nucleotides) under Xylaria haemorrhoidalis. Its description in RNAcentral is "eukaryotic LSU rRNA". The stretch from base 536 to 689 matches the Rfam family "5.8S ribosomal RNA". The record is from RNAcentral. Lineage: Eukaryota; Fungi; Ascomycota; Sordariomycetes; Xylariales; Xylariaceae.
CUUGGUCAUUUAGAGGAAGUAAAAGUCGUAACAAGGUCUCCGUUGGUGAACCAGCGGAGGGAUCAUUAAAGAGUUUUUAACUCCUAAACCCAUGUGAACAUACUAUAUGUUGCCUCGGCAGGUCGCAUACAAUCUAUAUUAGCACUCACUAAUAGCUUGUUUGAUGUUGUUGUUUUGACAAGUGAGCUCUCACCUGCGAGUAAUCCGGACAGAAGCGUUAUAGCUUGUCAGUGCAUUCAACGUUAUUAAAGCUAUGAGUCUUAUUUAGACGAUGCGUUAAGGCCUGCCGGCGGCCCAUUAAACACCGUAGGUUGGUUGCGUCUACUCUAUAAGAUUAAAAUACAUCUGUGAUGGGAGGAGGAUGUGGCCGGUAGUUAAUCUACCCUUGUGGUUUAAUCGACCCUUGUGCUUUUGCUGGCUUUUUUAUUCCCUACCCUGAUAGAUAUAUCUACUAGAGUGAUGUAUACCGCUAACCUGUUGGUGGAUUAUUAAUUCUAGUCUUUAAUUGGUUCUGAAGUUAUAAAUAAUAAGUUAAAACUUUCAACAACGGAUCUCUUGGUUCUGGCAUCGAUGAAGAACGCAGCGAAAUGCGAUAAGUAAUGUGAAUUGCAGAAUUUAGUGAAUCAUCGAAUCUUUGAACGCACAUUGCGCCCAUUAGUAUUCUAGUGGGCAUGCCUGUUCGAGCGUCAUUUCAACCCUUAAGCCUUCGUUGCUUAGUGUUGGGAGCCUACAGUAGUGUAGCUCCCCAAAGUCAGUGGCAGAGUCGGUUCAUACUCUAGAUGUAGUAGACUUAUCUCGUCUGUGAGUUGGGCCGGUCCCUUGCCGUAAAACCCCUAAAUUUUAAAGGUUGACCUCGGAUCAGGUAGGAAUACCCGCUGAACUUAAGCAUAUCAAUAAGCGGAGGA